UCGCCCUCCUGCUGCUGUGCUCCUGCUUCAUGCUGGCUCCGACAAAGGGAGAUGAGGUUUCACUACAUUGCCCAAGCUGGUCUCGAACUCUUCCUGCCUCGGUCUCCCAAAGUGCUGGGAUGACAGAAGUGAGCCACCGCGCCUGGCCAGAUUUUGCCUUCCUAACAAGCCCUCGUGUGCUGCUGAAGCUGGGGAUCCACAGGUCUCACCUUGCAUGGCCACACCUACCUGUUUCCUCUCCUCAAAGUUGACAGAUGUGCCAGGGAUGUGACAGAUGGUACAGUCAAGAUGACCUAGCUGUAACCUGGCUACUAGAGGACCAAGGAGAAAAAUAAACUUCUACCACGCUUUCGAAAACAAGCACUCAAACUCAGGAGAUACUUGAUUGAAGUUGAAAGAGUGGUGCAUUCCCCAAGGCAGUACCCUCAUGAAUGGGAUUAGUGUCCUUUAAUAAAAGAGACCCAAGAGAGGUCCCUUGCUCCUUCCAGCAUGUGAGAUUACAGCAAAAAGAUGCUGUCUAUGAACCAGAAAGUGGGCCCUCACCAGACACUGAAUCUGUCGGCACCUUGAUCUUGGAUUUCCCAGCUUCCAGAAGUGGGAGAAAUAAAUUUCUCUUGUAAAUAAGAUAAACAGUUUAUGAUAUUUUAUUAUAGCAGCCCCAAGGGACUAAGACAGAAAUCCAGUUGUACACCAGAUGGUUGUAACACGUUCAGUGGAAUGAAAACCUUGUGUCUUGGCAGGGUGCAGUGGCUCAUGCCUGUAAUCCCAACGCUUUGGGAGGCUGAGGUGGGAGGGUCACUUGAGGCCAGGUGUUCAAGACCAGCCUGGGCAACAUAAGGAGAUGUCCAGAUAGCCGGCAAAACAGUGUUCCUGGGUAGGCCUGUGAUGGUGUUUCCAGAAGAAAUUAGUGCUGUGAGUCGGUAGAGUGAGUAAAAAAGAGUCUCUUAAAAAAAAUGUUGGCCGGGCACGGGGCUCACGCCUGUAAUCCUAGCACUUUACAAGGCUAAGGCAAGUGGAUCACUUGAGGUCAGGAGUUCGAGACCAGCCUGGCCAACAUGGUGAAACCCCAUCUCUACUAAAAAAUACAAAAAUUAGCUAGGAAUGGUGGUGUGUGCCUGUAGUCCCAGCUGCUCAGGAGGCUGAGGCAUGAGAAUCACUUGAACUCAGGAGGUGGAGGUUGCAGUGAGCCGAGAUCGUGCCACUGCACUCCAGCCUGGGUGUGGUGGUAUGCACCUGUAGUCCCAGCUACUCAGGAGGCUGAGGCAGGAAGAUCGCCUGAGCCCAGGAGAUUGAGGCUGCAGCACUCCAGCCUGGGCAACAGAGCAAGAUCUGGUUUCCAAAAAACCCAAAAAAACCUUGUGUCUUCAUGUGGAGAUUAAGUAUGGUUUAAGGAGAUGUGUAUGGAUGACAAGUUCAAAAAGGAUGGUCGUGUGAUGGUUAAUUUUAUGUGUCAGUUUGACUGAGCUAAGGGAUGUCCAGAUAGCUGGCAAAACAGUGUUCCUGGGUAGUCCUGUGAUGAUGUUUCCAGAACAAAUUAGCAUUGUGAGUUGGUAGAUUGAGUGAAAAAGAUCCUCCCAGGUGGAUCGCGAGGUCAGGAGAUCGAGACCAUCCUGGCUAACACGGUGAAACCCCAUCUCUACUAAAAAUACAAAAAAUUAGCUGGGCAUGGUGGCGGGUGCCUGUAGUCCCAGCUACUCAGGGGGCUGAGGCAGAAGAACGGCGUGAACCCGGGAGGCAGAGCUUGCAGUGAGCGGAGAUUGCACCACUGCACUCCAGCCUGGGCGAGAGAGUGAGACUCUGUCUCAGAAAAAAAAAAAAAAAUUAGAAAAAGAUCCUCCCUGUCAGUGGGUAUCAUCCACUGUUGAGUGGACAAAAGGUGGAAGAGGGGCGAAUCUGCUCUUUCUGGGCUGACAUCCAUUUUCUCUUGCCCUUGGAGGUCAGUGCUCCUAGCUCUUGCUUUUGGGCUUAGACUGGGACUUACAUCAUUGUGCCUCUGGUCCUCAGUCUUCAGAUUCAGACUGAAUUAUACCACCAGCUUUCCUGGUUUUUCAGCUUGCAGAUGGCAGAUCCUGGGACUUCUUGGCCUCCAUAACUGCAUGAGCCAAUUCCCAUAAUAAAUCUACACUUGAUCUUAGCCACAAGGCCGAGAAACGAUCAAUUCCUAUAAUAAAUCUCUCUUAUAAUAUCCUGUUGGUUCUGUUUCUCUGGAGAACCCUGACUAAUAUACCUUUUUUUUUUUUUUUUUUUUUUUUUUGAGACAGUCUUGCUCUGUUGCCCGGGCUAGAGCACAGUGGUGCCAUCACAGCUCACUGCAACCUCCAUCUCCCAGGUUCAAAUGAUUCUCCUGCCUCAGCGUCCCGAGUAGCUGGGAUUACAGGCACCUGCCACUAUGCCUGGCUAAUUUUUGUAUUUUUAGUACAAAUGGGGUUUCAUCAUGUUGGCCAGGCUGAUCUCGAACCCCUGACCUCAAGUGACCUGCCCGCCUCAGCCUCCCAAAAUGCUGCAAUUACAGGCAUGAGCCACCGCGCCCGGCCCUAAUACACCUUUUAACCUAAAAUUUCAGGACUUUCUUUACUUAGAAAAUUAUAUACACAUAUAUAGCUGUGAUUGUGCCACUGCAAUCCAGCCUGGGCGACAGAGUGAGCCCUUGUCUCAAAAGAAAAAAAAAGUUUGGUAUAUAAUCUUCCAAUCCCUUUCUAUGAAUUUAAAUGUUUAUUUUCUACCUAGUAAUCUUAUUUUUUUUAAUUCUUUAUUUCCUAGAUAAUGUUCAUUGAACCUUUUUGUAUUGAGAAAUUUUAAGGCACAUUUAAAAAAUAUAUUCUAACCAGGCACCGUGGCUAUCUUAGCACUUUAGGAGGCUGAGGCGGGUGAUCAGUUGAGGUCAGGAGUUCAAGACCGGCCUGAUGGUGAAAACCCUGUCUCUACAAAAAAUACAAAAAUUAGCCGGGCACAGUGGUGUGACCCUGUAAUCCCAGAUACUGGGGAGGCUGAGGCAUGAAAAUUGCUUGAACAUGGGAGACAGAGGUUGCAGUGAGCCAAGAUUGCACCACUGCACUCCAGCCUGGGCGACAGAGUGAGGCUCUGUCUCCAAAAAUAAUAAGAAGAAAGAGAGAGAGAGAGAAACAAACAAACAAACAGAGGCAAAAUUAAUAUAAGUAGCAUUUUUUGUUGUGGUUGUUGUUUUCUUCCUGAGACAGAGUUUUGCUCUUACGCCCAGGCUGAAGUGCAAUGGCCAUGAUCUCCGCUCACCACAACCUCCGCCCCCAGGGUUCAAGCGAUUCUCCUGCCUGAGCUGGAGAUUACAGGCACCCACCACCACCACGCCCAGCUAAUGUUGUAGUUUUAGUAGAGACAGGGUUUGGCUAUGUUGGACAGGCUGGUCUCGAACUCCUGACCUCAGGCGAUCCACCCACCUCGGCCUCCCAAAGUGCUAGGAUUAUAGGCCUGAGCCACUGCACCCAGCCCCGUUUUUUUUGUUUGUUUGUUUGUUUUUUUUUUUUUUUUAUUUUUAUUUUUUAUUUUUUAUUUUUUAUUUUUAUUGAUCAUUCUUGGGUGUUUCUCGCAGAGGGGGAUUUGGCAGGGUCAUAGGACAAUAGUGGAGGGAAGGUCAGCAGAUAAAC
This 3620-nucleotide long non-coding RNA is filed under the name Homo sapiens (human). RNAcentral's name for it is "HSALNT0278107". Lineage: Eukaryota; Metazoa; Chordata; Mammalia; Primates; Hominidae. The record is from RNAcentral.